UGCCAUCCAUGUUUAUUCACUGGGUCUGGUUCACCAUCCAAAUGGCGUCAAUUACAAGGAGAAAACAGAAACUCCAAAAUAUUCGUAACUUUAGAUUUAAAAAGAAGUUAUUCCACAAAGAAACAAGAGGAAUGGUGAGGCAGCUGUUACAAGUGUCUGGUGAAGACUGGGUGGCUGCUGUCAAGGAGUACGUUGAUAAUAAUGGUAAGUUGUUCCUCCAUCCUGUGUACUCGAGAACUUUAAACUCAUACAGUGUAACUUAUUUUAUGCCUUAUUAUUGGGUAAUGUGUGUGUAUCAUUUUGCUGUAAAUAUAUAAAUAAGAGCAGUGGAAAUAAGUGUUACUAAUAUUGUAUGUCUUAUGCCGUAUUUUAGGUAACGUAACAUUGAUAUUUUUUCUCUUCAUUAUGAUAUGUUACUUUACCAUGCUGAGAGGUGGUGUCUAUACUAACAGCUGACCUAACCAACCAAAGAAACCUACCUAACUUGACCUAACCAACCAAAGAAACCUACCUAACUUUAACUAACCUGACCUAACCAACCAAAGAAACCUACCUAACUUUAACUAACCAAACCUAACCAACCAUACUCCAGUAACAGUUAAAACGCAAGACAACUUUUGUAGAAUCUCUUCAAUAUUUAUCCGAUGGGGUAUAGGUCACACUACAGCUUGCUUAACUCCAUGUCUCACGUUCGUCAGCGUGUUCUAGAAAUCAAAUAAAUAUCCAUGAUGAAUGUAGUUUUAGCUUGUUGGAAGGGUAUAACAAGUUAAAGUGCUUUGUAACUUAAUACAGUGUAUUCAAAGAAAAAAUUAAAGUCUACUGUUUUUCUCAAGUGAAGUUUUAAAGUAAAACUUCGUAUUUACAAUUAAAUCAUUUAUUACCGAAAUAUUUCAUAAUACUCGUACAAACAAUACCCGAAGCUGACCGACGCCUGCCUCCCAAGGGGUGACAGCUGAAGCCACACGUUCCGAGGUAAAGAAGUGAAAGUACUACUGUCACUUGGUUAUUUGGAGACAGAGGUUACCACGGUGUAGGAGCUCUUUUGUGCAACUGUAAUAAAGAAUUAGAAAUGGUUCAGUAGAAUAUUGACAGUAAAGUAAAUUUAAGUCGUAAAUGUUUGAUAUUUGGGUAACGAAUUUUUCUUUCCAGGUUGUGGAGGUGGAAAAAGAAGUGGAACCUCGUGCCUCAUUUAGUUUCGUUGCUGACGUGUCGACAAAGUGUAUGUGCUUCUGGACGCACCUGAAUAGAAAAGUUAAACCUUUUCGCAAAAUAAGUACAGUGUAUUAUGUUAGUUCUGAAAAAUGUAUUUGUUUUUAGGUCGUGUUGGAAAGUGCUGUAACCCGCUUGCCGAAAGGCUCGACUAACGGGGCAGUGUACUCGACUGUCUUCACUGAGCAAAUUGAAGUAUGGUAGCCAUCCGCUGGUGGGGGAGAAGCUGAUGUUGAAAAUGGUUAAAUGCUGUGAACAUUGGCCUGCUGCACCACCUCUUUAAAAGAUCUGCUGCAGUCCAGAAGACGUGAUUGUUGUUGUUGGAUAAUGCACAGGGCCAUUGAGUGAACGUGUUGGUAAUAAGAGCCUGUAGAGGUGUUGGUGUCGGACUGUGGCAGAAUUGUUGACCCUCGAGACGAGCAUGUCGACACUUCAUAUGGUUGUGGAGGUGAAAAACGGCCGGUAUUUUUUGAGUUGGGGACUACUGAUGGGUAGGUGUUGACUUCCUAUUUGUUAGUUUAUGAAAUGGUUUAGAAUUAAUAUUAGAGUUAAGUUUUGUCCCUCAGCUGUACAGUUUUGGUUUACCCUUAGUUGCCAAUAUAUGAAGGGGAGGAAACUCUAUCCAAUUCAUGGUGUGCCAGAGCCCGAUCUCUGUGCCUCGUUUAGUCUUGUCGCUGACACGUCGGCGACAAAAUGUACACACGUGUGGAUGCAGCUUAUUACAAAGUUUAAAUGUUUACCGCCAAAAAGCCUGGUGUAUUAUAUAUUGUCUGAAAUAUUUUAUAUUUUUCAGGCUUGAGGAUGGGUUGGAGAUGUGGUGGUGGUGGUGUAACCCGCUUGGUGAAAGGCUCGACUACUACUUUUAUGGGGCAGUGCACUUGACGGUCUUCAUGAACCAAGUAUGGUAGCCAUCCUCUGGUGGGGGAGAAGAAGCAGAUGUUUAAAAUGGGCCAAGUGGUGUAACCUUUGGCGUGCUGGACCACCUCUUGGAAGGAUCUGCUGCAGUCCAGAACACGUGAUUGUUGUUGGAUGAUGCACAGGGCCAUCGAGUGAACGUGUCGGUAAUAAGAGUCGUUAGAGCUGUGAGUAUUGUUUGUUGUACGGUAUUGAGGAAGACGGAUUACUUUGUUAGCUUUCACCAAUACUGUCUAGUAAUGUUAACAGUAAAAUAUUUGUAAUAUUGAUUUAAUAUAUUUUGUUCAGGUUGGUGUCUGGUGGUGGGUCAUGGCAGAAAUGUUUCCCCUAGAGACGAGCAUGUCGACACUACAUAUGGUGUUGUUAAAUUUUGUAAGACUGUAUUUAAAGUGGAAGGUGUUACCAAUUGUUUGUUUAUAAUGAAUUUGAGAG
Molecule: long non-coding RNA, 2556 nt
Filed under: Homarus americanus (American lobster)
Lineage: Eukaryota; Metazoa; Arthropoda; Malacostraca; Decapoda; Nephropidae
Description: uncharacterized LOC121866185, transcript variant X4
Source: RNAcentral